This is a long non-coding RNA of Oryzias melastigma (Indian medaka), 630 nucleotides long. RefSeq lists it as uncharacterized. The transcript has 3 exons. The record is from RefSeq and is a predicted model, not a curated record. NCBI's taxonomy places the organism in Eukaryota, Metazoa, Chordata, Actinopteri, Beloniformes, Adrianichthyidae.
GAUCAGGUGUGGUAAUCCAACCGACCACCUAACAGGACCCUUGGCGACGGGCGCACUAACAGUUGCAUCCCUGCUGUUGGAGAGGCGGCGCGCUGUCUGUGAGCUUGGCAGUGGGGGCUCCUGUGGUGACGGCCGGACUGGGAGACUGGAGUGCCUCAUCAUGAAUAACAUGCAUGUGGCUCGGCUUGCAAAUGCAUGUGACACAUGUUUGAUCCCAGAGUCAGACAAAGGCCUGGGUAAUCCACGUUAGCAGUCUCCCAGGCAGGCGCUCCACUUGGCUCCUGUCAAACAGACGCCCAGCAGGCAGUUCUGGAUUGUGUUUACCGCACCAGUUUUGUUUUCUGUCAGUCCGCACAUGGCUGCAACUGUGUUCUAGCUAUAGCCGGUGGACACGUACGACCUUCACCGCACGGAGAUGGAGCUGAAAGCCUGCUGAGUUUCCACUCUCGCAUUACAGCUGGGAUCUUUUGUUACUUUAGUUACUAAAAAACUCUUCUGUUCUAGGCUUUAUCCUUUGUAAAGUGACAGUCUGACAAAGACAGAAAAGAAGAUUCUGAGUGCUUUAGCAUUCUUGUCCCUGUGUACAUUUAAAUAAAGCCCCUGUUGUCUGUGAGUCUGUUCAUUCUCUGA